RNAcentral lists this ribosomal RNA (541 nucleotides) under uncultured bacterium. RNAcentral's name for it is "bacterial SSU rRNA". It matches the Rfam family "Bacterial small subunit ribosomal RNA", at positions 777 to 1320 of the family's 1533-position model. The record is from RNAcentral.
AAUAGAUACCCUGGUAGUCCACGCCGUAAACGAUGGAUACUAGCUGUUUGGAAGCAAUUCUGAGUGGCUAAGCGAAAGUGAUAAGUAUCCCACCUGGGGAGUACGGGCGCAAGCCUGAAACUCAAAGGAAUUGACGGGGGGUCCCGCACAAGCGGUGGAGCAUGUGGUUUAAUUCGAUGAUACGCGAGGAACCUUACCAGGGCUUAAAUGUGUUUUGACCGCUUAGGAAACUAGGCUUUCGCAAGACAAAAUACAAGGUGCUGCAUGGUUGUCGUCAGCUCGUGCCGUGAGGUGUCAGGUUAAGUCCUAUAACGAGCGCAACCCCUUGUUGUUAGUUGCCAGCGAGUAGUGUCGGGAACUCUAACAAGACUGCCAGUGUAAACUGUGAGGAAGGUGGGGAUGACGUCAAAUCAUCGACGGCCCUUACGGUCCUGGGCCACACACGUGCUACAAUGGACGGUACAGAGAGCAGCUACCACGCGAGUGGAUGCGAAUCUAUAAAACCGUUCUCAGUUCGGAUCGGAGUCUGCAACUCGUACCG